RNAcentral lists this non-coding RNA (165 nucleotides) under Proboscia inermis. Lineage: Eukaryota; Bacillariophyta; Melosirophyceae; Probosciales; Probosciaceae. The record is from RNAcentral.
ACACUCAUGUAUCAUCGAAAAAAGAAGAAAAAAAGUACUCCCAAAAAAUCGAAUACGUGUGAGGUUUGUUGCGUUUGCCGGUCGUUUUUUUUUGUUGUUUACCUGUUCACUGUUUGAGGGACCAUUGGUUUCUCGAAUGAAAAGGGAACGGCUAUGCUGCUUAAA